AACAUAAUAUUUUUUAUUUGGAUUGGGCUAUACUCACACAUAAAAAACGGGUUUGAAAUAUUACAUUCCCGGCUUGAACCAGGCUGAUUAUGAGGUCUAAUCUUCUUCAAUGCUUUCAUUUUGUUGUUGAAAAAAAACCUUCAAAUUCGAUCCAACAGCUAGUACCUCUCUCUUGCAAGUGGAGUUUGAAUGCUUCAGCUCUUGAUAACGAAACCCCCUGAAGAAAAGGAAUAGCAGCAUAAACAUGAUUGGCCGCUUUAAACUUACCAAUGUUUAUGGAUUUCAAAUAUUCUUGUGUAAAUAGACAUGAAUGAAAAUCUUUACUUCUAAAAGAUUGAAAAACUCCAAGCAAAAGUUUUAGUUUUGAUAACAUUUUUGGGAGAUGCUUUAUGGUGAGAACAAGGGAUGACCAAAUUGGACCUUGACUCAACUAAAACCUGUUAGUGUUGCAGUUUCAAUUCAAAAUCCUACCUUUGCACCUAGAUAAAAGUUGCUUACAAUAAAUAUAAACCCAAAUAAAGCUACAGUUAUGAUGAGAUAGUUGAAGUACUUACUGGUACGGAUUAUGUAGUUGCAGUUCCGAGAUAUGGGAAAAGUUUGCAGAUUGAUAUUCAAAACCCAACUAAAAUAAGCAUGGUUUCUGUAAAAGAUGAAUCUGGAAUCAAUUUUAGUGAUAUUUCUAAUCAACAUAUUGUAUGUCUUCAAUGAUUAUGACAGCAUUUAAUAUGCAAAAUUGCUGAUAAAGUGAAAAACAGAGCAUUUGAUUUUUGAAGACGAAGAGAAGGGUGGGGGGGGGGGGAGAGAAAUAAUACAUAUUUUAUUUUUAUUAUUUAAUUUUAAUAAAUGUUUUUAAGUAAAAAAUUGAAAAUAUAAAAUUAUGACGUGUCACUUUUUAAUUGCUGAGAUUUUUUUUCUAACCUCUGUAAAAGAAACUAAAAACUAUAUCCUAUGGCUUGCUUUCUAUUUCCUAAUUCUCUUUGCAAAGCAAAAAGGAUAUGGCAAAAGGGGUAUUCAUUAGUGUGAAUGGAUAAAACUUUGUGAUUUAAAGGAGAAUGGAGGUAUUGGCUUUCAUUGCUUAACAAAAUUCAAUUUAUCUUUAUUAGUAAAAUAGGGUUGCCGAUUAAUUUGUAAUCUGAAUUCUUUGCUUAUGCAUGUGUUAAAAGCUAAGUAUUGUCCCAAAACAGAUUUCAUAAAUGCAAGGUUAGGGAGUCUACCUUCCUAUACUUUGAAGAGCAUUUGGGCUUCCAAAGGGAUACUCCAAGAUGGGAUGUGCUGGAGAGUUGGGAAUGGGGAAAGAAUUCUAGUUAUUGGAGCUGCAUAGGUGCCUCGUUUAGAGAAUCGCAAAAUUCAAACUGUUAGUAGUAUUCCAGAUUCAAUGAUGGUAACUGAUUUUAUUGUUAAGAAAUCUAGGCUUUGGAAUGAAGAACUUAUCAAAAGUACCUUCAGUAU
RNAcentral lists this long non-coding RNA (1449 nucleotides) under Gossypium raimondii (Peruvian cotton). RNAcentral's name for it is "long non-coding RNA (GRAI_LNC005434)". Lineage: Eukaryota; Viridiplantae; Streptophyta; Magnoliopsida; Malvales; Malvaceae. The record is from RNAcentral.